RNAcentral lists this ribosomal RNA (928 nucleotides) under Tubeufia nigrosepta. Its description in RNAcentral is "Tubeufia sp. LL-2021a partial large subunit ribosomal RNA". It matches the Rfam family "Eukaryotic large subunit ribosomal RNA", at positions 100 to 1443 of the family's 3401-position model. Lineage: Eukaryota; Fungi; Ascomycota; Dothideomycetes; Tubeufiales; Tubeufiaceae. The record is from RNAcentral.
GGCAAUAGCUCAAAUUUGAAAUCUGGCUCUUUCAGAGUCCGAGUUGUAAUUUGUAGAGGAUGCUUCGGCUUACGUCUCGGUCUAAGUUCCUUGGAACAGGACGUCACAGAGGGUGAGAAUCCCGUUUGUGGCCGCGACUUCCGCCAUGUGAAGCUCCUUCGACGAGUCGAGUUGUUUGGGAAUGCAGCUCUAAAUGGGAGGUAUAUUUCUUCUAAAGCUAAAUACCGGCCAGAGACCGAUAGCGCACAAGUAGAGUGAUCGAAAGAUGAAAAGCACUUUGGAAAGAGAGUUAAAAAGUACGUGAAAUUGUUGAAAGGGAAGCGCUUGCGACCAGACUUGCCCGCGGAUGCUCAACCGGUCCUUCGGCCGGUGCACUCUUCCGCGGUCAGGCCAGCAUCAGUUCGAGCAGUCGGAUAAAGGCCUUGGGAAUGUGGCUCUCUUCGGGGAGUGUUAUAGCCCUAGGUGCAAUACGGCUUGCCUGGACUGAGGCCCGCGCUUCGGCUAGGAUGCUGGCGUAAUGGUCGUAAGCGGCCCGUCUUGAAACACGGACCAAGGAGUCUAACAUCUAUGCGAGUGUUUGGGUGUCAAACCCGUGCGCGAAAUGAAAGUGAACGGAGGUGGGAACCUUUGGGUGCACCAUCGACCGAUCCUGAUGUCUUCGGAUGGAUUUGAGUAAGAGCAUAGCUGUUGGGACCCGAAAGAUGGUGAACUAUGCCUGAAUAGGGUGAAGCCAGAGGAAACUCUGGUGGAGGCUCGCAGCGGUUCUGACGUGCAAAUCGAUCGUCAAAUUUGGGUAUAGGGGCGAAAGACUAAUCGAACCAUUCCAGUUGUGGGGGGUUACAUGCUGGCGUCUUGUAAAGUUGGUUUGUUUUUCGAAAGAAUUACAAAUCUCUCGUUGGGGGAGUGAAUCCCUUCAUUCUAGAGAGGU